CUACUUAACGCGAAGAAACCUUACCUACCCUUGACAUGUACGGAAUUCCGCUGAGAGGUGGAAGUGCCCGAAAGGGAGCCGUAACACAGGUGCUGCAUGGCUGUCGUCAGCUCGUGUCGUGAGAUGUUGGGUUAAGUCCCGCAACGAGCGCAACCCUUGUCCCUAGUUGCUACGCAAGAGCACUCCAGGGAGACUGCCGGUGACAAACCGGAGGAAGGUGGGGAUGACGUCAAGUCCUCAUGGCCCUUAUGGGUAGGGCUUCACACGUCAUACAAUGGUCGGAACAGAGGGUUGCCAAGCCGCGAGGUGGAGCCAAUCCCAGAAAACCGAUCGUAGUCCGGAUCGCAGUCUGCAACUCGACUGCGUGAAGCUGGAAUCGCUAGUAAUCGCGGAUCAGCAUGCCGCGGGAAUAUUAACAA
Molecule: ribosomal RNA, 419 nt
Filed under: Paraburkholderia tropica
Lineage: Bacteria; Pseudomonadati; Pseudomonadota; Betaproteobacteria; Burkholderiales; Burkholderiaceae
Description: bacterial SSU rRNA
Rfam family: Bacterial small subunit ribosomal RNA
Source: RNAcentral